Molecule: long non-coding RNA, 459 nt
Filed under: Bos indicus x Bos taurus (hybrid cattle)
Lineage: Eukaryota; Metazoa; Chordata; Mammalia; Artiodactyla; Bovidae
Description: lncRNA (ENSBIXG00000020622.1)
Source: RNAcentral
GUGCUCUAAUAAUUUCCUCAUGUUGCAUAACGGCCUCACUGCUUUGGAUCCAGAGCCACCACCCCGGGAGGCCUGUGGUCCUUGAGUGCUGGGUGAGCGAACACCAGGCUGGCUGGAGACUCAGCAUUGCCUGGGGCUUUCGGGAACUUCCUUCAGAUAAUCACCCUGCCAGACAGUGGAGGACUGCCAGACGAAUUAGGAAGACCUGCCUGACAGGGCCUUUAAAGAUGCCUUUGAGAAGAGGAAAUGCUCUCCUUUCUGAGAAGGAUACCUGUCCAGGUGUUUUUCAGAAUCCAAACUCCAGUUUCAAUUGUGAUUCAAAUAACUCCUAUGCUCCACCAGGCUCAGCCUCUACUAGUCAAAGAAACUUGGCUAAAUAAUCAAGAGGAAACAAAAUGCAAUUCAAAUUCUCACUUGCAUUUUCAAAGGAUAUUGAGGGGAUCCAGGUCACAGCCCACA